RNAcentral lists this ribosomal RNA (440 nucleotides) under uncultured bacterium. RNAcentral's name for it is "partial 16S ribosomal RNA". It matches the Rfam family "Bacterial small subunit ribosomal RNA", at positions 338 to 795 of the family's 1533-position model. The record is from RNAcentral.
CCUACGUGUGACAGCAGUGGGGGAUAUUGCACAAUGGGGGGAACCCUGAUGCAGCGACGCCGCGUGGGUGAAGAAGCGCCUCGGCGCGUAAAGCCCUGUCAGCAGGGAAGAAAAUGACGGUACCUGAAGAAGAAGCCCCGGCUAACUACGUGCCAGCAGCCGCGGUAAUACGUAGGGGGCAAGCGUUAUCCGGAUUUACUGGGUGUAACGGGGGCGCACACGGCGAUGCAAGCCAGGAGUGAACGCACGGGGCCCAACCCCGGGACUGCUCGUGGAACUGCGUGGCUGGAGUGCAGGCGGGGCAGGCGGAAUUCCUGGUGUAGCGGUGAAAUGCGUAGAUAUCAGGAGGAACACCGGUGGCGAAGGCGGCCUGCUGGACUGCAACUGACGUUGAGGCCCGAAAGCGUGGGGAGCAAACAGGAUUAGAUACCCUGGUAGUC